CUACCAUGCAAGUCGACGAUGAACCGGUUUCGGCCGGGGAUUAGUGGCGAACGGGUGAGUAACAUGUGGGCRAUCUGCCCUGCACUCUGGGAUAAGCCCGGGAAACUGGGUCUAAUACCGGAUACGACACAUGAGCGCAUGCUCGUGUGUGGAAAGUUCCGGCGGUGCAGGAUGAGCCCGCGGCCUAUCAGUUUGUUGGUGGGGUAGUGGCCUACCAAGACGACGACGGGUAGCCGGCCUGAGAGGGUGACCGGCCACACUGGGACUGAGACACGGCCCAGACUCCUACGGGAGGCAGCAGUGGGGAAUAUUGCACAAUGGGCGAAAGCCUGAUGCAGCGACGCCGCGUGAGGGAUGACGGCCUUCGGGUUGUAAACCUCUUUCAGCAGGGAAGAAGCGAAAGUGACGGUACCUGCAGAAGAAGCACCGGCUAACUACAUGCCAGCAGCCGCGGUAAUACGUAGGGUGCAAGCGUUGUCCGGAAUUAUUGGGCGUAAAGAGCUCGUAGGCGGCCUGUCGCGUCGAUUGUGAAAGCCCAGGGCUUAACCCUGGGUCUGCAGUCGAUACGGGCAGGCUAGAGUUCGGUAGGGGAGAUCGGAAUUCCUGGUGUAGCGGUGAAAUGCGCAGAUAUCAGGAGGAACACCGGUGUCUAAGGCGGAUCUCUGGUCCGAUACUGACGCUGAUGAGCGAAUGCUUGCGCAGCGAACAGGAUUAGAUACCCUGGUAGUCCACGCCGUACA
This 740-nucleotide ribosomal RNA is filed under the name uncultured Streptomyces sp. RNAcentral describes it as "bacterial SSU rRNA". It matches the Rfam family "Bacterial small subunit ribosomal RNA", at positions 49 to 806 of the family's 1533-position model. Lineage: Bacteria; Bacillati; Actinomycetota; Actinomycetes; Kitasatosporales; Streptomycetaceae. The record is from RNAcentral.